UAGGGAAUCUUCGGCAAUGGGGGGAACCCUGACCGAGCAACGCCGUGUGAGUGAAGAAGGUUUUCGGAUCGUAAAGCUCUGUUGCUAAGGAAGAACGAGUGUGAGAAUGGAAAGUUCAUGCUGUGACGGUACUUAACCAGAAAGGGACGGCUAACUACGUGCCAGCAGCCGCGGUAAUACGUAGGUUCUGAGCGCUGCCCGGACUUAUUGGGCGUAAAGCGAGCGCAGGCGGUUAGAAAAGGAUGAAGUGAAAGGCAGUGGCUCAACCAUUGUAAGCUUUGGAAACUGUUUAACUUGAGUGCAGAAGAGGAGAGUGGAAUUCCAUGUGUAGCGGUGAAAUGCGUAGAUAUAUGGAGGAACACCGGUGGCGAAAGCGACUCUCUGGUCUGUAACUGACGCUGAGGCUCGAAAGCGUGGGGAGCGAACAGG
RNAcentral lists this ribosomal RNA (429 nucleotides) under Verrucomicrobiota bacterium. Its description in RNAcentral is "Verrucomicrobia bacterium partial 16S ribosomal RNA". It matches the Rfam family "Bacterial small subunit ribosomal RNA", at positions 355 to 776 of the family's 1533-position model. Lineage: Bacteria; Pseudomonadati; Verrucomicrobiota. The record is from RNAcentral.